RNAcentral lists this ribosomal RNA (236 nucleotides) under uncultured bacterium. RNAcentral's name for it is "partial 16S ribosomal RNA". It matches the Rfam family "Bacterial small subunit ribosomal RNA", at positions 108 to 339 of the family's 1533-position model. The record is from RNAcentral.
GAGUAACACGUGAAUAAUCUGCCUACGAAUUCGGGAUAACUCGACGAAAGUUGCGCUAAUACCGAAUAAGACCACGUCUCUUAUGUGAUGUGGCCAAAGGAGUCUCAAACUCCGUUUGUAGAUGAGUUCGCGGACCAUUAGCUAGUUGGAGGGAUAACAGCCCCCCAAGGCUACGAUGGUUAGCCGGCCUGAGAGGGUGAUCGGCCACACUGGAACUGAGACACGGUCCAGACUCC